Molecule: long non-coding RNA, 633 nt
Organism: Mauremys reevesii (Reeves's turtle)
Lineage: Eukaryota; Metazoa; Chordata; Testudines; Geoemydidae
Exons: 3
Source: RefSeq, a predicted model, not a curated record
UAAGACACAGAGAGGCAGCUCAUGAUGAAAGGGGCUUUUCAGGGAAGGUGUUUAGAGAUCUUACUAGAAAAGAGGGUUAGGAAAGGUCUUCCUGGAGGUAGCAGAUUCUGAGAGUGUUAUUAGUGCAAAGGCCUAGGAAGAUCAGUCCCAGUGAAAGGCCCUUAGUAGAUGGUGGUAAGCAGUGCAGGUUGUUGAGGAACUACAUGCUGCUUCAGAAGAGACUAUAGCUGUUUGGCAUCUGCAUGGGUCCUGAGUCCAGGAACACCUUCCCAGCUGAAGCUUGGUACUUUGGACUCGUGGGAGGCUGGGUUCUGUUCUGCACAUCAGUGGGCACAGCCCAGAACAGGGGCUUCAGUGGGGGAAAGGCAACUUAAUGCCAUCUCUGUGCUGCCCAAAUGUUGAGCUGUUCCAGGGACCAGUGAGGCUCUUGGGAUCAUGUCCUCAUUGUGAGCACCAUCAUCAACAGUGUGAGCAAUGCACUGUGGGUCAGUAUCCCACAGUGCAGUGUUGUGGGAAGACGAAGCUGAUCCCAGCGUAUUUUGAGAGGAUUCCCUCUGAGUUCUCCCACAGCCGACUCAGCCCUGCAUAUAUGUAAAGUUAGUACAGCAUUAUGGAAGACUUUGGGAUAAAAAG